GCGGUUAAAACGCUCGUAGUUGGGUUUCUGUCGGACGCAUCAGGUCUGCCCAAGCGGCGAGUACUUGUUCUGUGUCUGGCAUCUUCUUGGGGAACGGGUGCGCACUUCAUUGUGUGGCUCGGAAACCUUGACGUUUACUUUGAGGAAAUGAGAGUGCUUCAAGCGGGUGUCCGCCACGAAUACGUUAGCAUGGAAUAUUACCAUUGGACCUCGGUUCAUGGCUGUUGGUUGCUCGAACCGAGGUGAGGACAGACGGGAACAGUUGGGGGCAUUCAUAUUGAACUGUCAGAGGUGAAAUUCUUGGAUUUGUUCAAGAUGAACUACAGCGAAAGCAUUUGCCAAAGAUGUUUUCAUCGAUCAAGAACGAAAGUCAGGGGAUCGAAGACGAUCAGAUACCGUCGUAGUCUUGACCAUAAACUAUGCCGACUAGAGAUUGGGGGUUGUUGCUUACCCGACGCCUCCAGCAUCUUGAGAGAAAUCAAAGUCUUUGGGUUCCGGGGGGAGUAUAGUCGCAAGAACGAAACUUAAAGGAAUUGACGGAAGGGCACCACCAGGAGUGGAGCCUGCGGCUUAAUUUGACUCAACACGGGAAAAACUUACCA
This 602-nucleotide ribosomal RNA is filed under the name uncultured marine eukaryote. RNAcentral's name for it is "bacterial SSU rRNA". It matches the Rfam family "Eukaryotic small subunit ribosomal RNA", at positions 615 to 1220 of the family's 1831-position model. The record is from RNAcentral.